RNAcentral lists this ribosomal RNA (478 nucleotides) under uncultured bacterium. RNAcentral's name for it is "partial 16S ribosomal RNA". It matches the Rfam family "Bacterial small subunit ribosomal RNA", at positions 28 to 523 of the family's 1533-position model. The record is from RNAcentral.
AUUGAACGCUGGCGGCGUGCUUAACACAUGCAAGUCGAACGGUAAGGCCCUUCGGGGUACACGAGUGGCGAACGGGUGAGUAACACGUGGGUGAUCUGCCCUGCACUUCGGGAUAAGCCUGGGAAACUGGGUCUAAUACCGGAUAGGACCACUGCCUGCAUGGGUGGUGGUGGAAAGCUUUUGCGGUGUGGGAUGGGCCCGCGGCCUAUCAGCUUGUUGGUGGGGUGAUGGCCUACCAAGGCGACGACGGGUAGCCGGCCUGAGAGGGUGACCGGCCACACUGGGACUGAGAUACGGCCCAGACUCCUACGGGAGGCAGCAGUGGGGAAUAUUGCACAAUGGGCGCAAGCCUGAUGCAGCGACGCCGCGUGAGGGUUGACGGCCUUCGGGUUGUAAACCUCUUUCAGCACCGACGAAGCGCAAGUGACGGUAGGUGCAGAAGAAGGACCGGCCAACUACGUGCCAGCCGCCACGGUAA